UAGUGUUAUAGCUCUUUUAGAAUUUGUCUAGCAUGUUUUCUGGUCCUCAUAGGACUAGAAGACACUC
Molecule: small nuclear RNA, 67 nt
Filed under: Microcebus murinus (gray mouse lemur)
Lineage: Eukaryota; Metazoa; Chordata; Mammalia; Primates; Cheirogaleidae
Description: U7 small nuclear RNA (ENSMICG00000025161.3)
Rfam family: U7 small nuclear RNA
About the family: Animal histone pre-mRNAs are spliced by a different mechanism than nuclear pre-mRNAs and self-splicing introns. This processing involves the U7 snRNP, which contains only one RNA species: U7. The 5' end of U7 RNA is thought to base-pair to a conserved spacer element downstream of the cleavage site in histone pre-mRNA.
Source: Rfam by way of RNAcentral